UGACAGCUGUUUUGGAACAAAACAGGUGCUGUUUCUUGCUGCAAGGACAGUACUUGCAGUCAAAACGGCUUUGGGCAAGCUAUGAAUCUCACUUCAACUGCACUUAAUGUCUGCAGAUGACACUUGCGAGGGUGCUUUGUAAACAGUGAGCCACAACAAAGACAGUAUUCCUUCAAUGUUAGUGUUCAGCCUAAGAGCGGCAAAGCCCCAUUUGUUAUCAGCAACCAGCUUGGCCUCUGACAAGAAUGUCAAAGACCCUGCCAUCACCGGCCGCUACGAAGACGACCAGCUCCUCCUUCAUCAGGAGCUGCCUCCCUACAGCCUGGCGGGAGCGACUACGUCACUAGGAUCCCGGCGACCUGUUUCGGGCCCAAGCAGCAGCGGCGGCCGACACACCCCGAGACGCAA
RNAcentral lists this long non-coding RNA (408 nucleotides) under Homo sapiens (human). RNAcentral describes it as "HSALNT0065675". The record is from RNAcentral. Lineage: Eukaryota; Metazoa; Chordata; Mammalia; Primates; Hominidae.